CUCUGGCCUCAAAUCAGGUAGGAUUACCCGCUGAACUUAAGCAUAUCAAUAAGCGGAGGAAAAGAAACUAACAAGGAUUCCCCUAGUAACGGCGAGUGAAGCGGGAAGAGCUCAAAUUUGAAAGCUGUUGCCUUUGGUAUCCGCAUUGUAAUCUCGAGAUCUGUUUUCCGCGCUGGACCAUGUACAAGUCCCUUGGAAUAGGGCGUCAUAGAGGGUGAGAAUCCCGUACUUGACAUGGCCUCCCAGUGCUUUGUGAUACAGGCUCAACGAGUCGAGUUGUUUGGGAAUGCAGCUCAAAAUGGGUGGUAAAUUCCAUCUAAAGCUAAAUAUUGGGGAGAGACCGAUAGCGAACAAGUACCGUGAGGAGAAGAUGAAAAGCACUUUGGAAAGAGAGUUAAACAGUACGUGAAAUUGUCAAAGAGGGAACCGUUUAAAGUUAGUCAUGCUUGCCUGGACUCAGCCUUGCUUUUGCUUGGUGCAUUUAUCAGGUUGGCAGGUCAGCAUCGGUUUUGACUGCUGGAUAAGGGUGAGAGGAAUGUGGCACCUCCGGGUGUGUUAUAGCCUUGCACUGGAUGCAGCAGAGGGGACCGAGGAACGCAGCGCGCCUCUAUGCCGGACCUUAGGGUACCUUCGCGCUUAGGAUGCUGGCAUAAUAGCUUUAAGCGACCCGACUUGAAACACGGACCA
This 687-nucleotide ribosomal RNA is filed under the name Entyloma fergussonii. RNAcentral describes it as "partial large subunit ribosomal RNA". It matches the Rfam family "Eukaryotic large subunit ribosomal RNA", at positions 1 to 668 of the family's 3401-position model. Lineage: Eukaryota; Fungi; Basidiomycota; Exobasidiomycetes; Entylomatales; Entylomataceae. The record is from RNAcentral.